Trichobilharzia regenti is the source of this 45-nucleotide non-coding RNA. NCBI's taxonomy places the organism in Eukaryota, Metazoa, Platyhelminthes, Trematoda, Strigeidida, Schistosomatidae. The record is from Rfam.
AUCCAGCUGACGAGUCCCAAAUAGAACGAAAUGCGCAUCCUGGAU